Molecule: ribosomal RNA, 292 nt
Filed under: uncultured bacterium
Lineage: Bacteria
Description: partial 16S ribosomal RNA
Rfam family: Bacterial small subunit ribosomal RNA
Source: RNAcentral
GUGCCAGCAGCCGCGGUAAUACGGAGGGUGCAAGCGUUGUCCGGAUUUAUUGGGUUUAAAGGGUGCGUAGGCGGCUUUUUAAGUCAGUGGUGAAAGACAACAGCUCAACUGUUGCAGUGCCAUUGAUACUGAAGAGCUUGAGUACAGAUGAGGUAGGCGGAAUUUAUGGUGUAGCGGUGAAAUGCAUAGAUACCAUAAAGAACACCUAUUGCGAAGGCAGCUUACUAAGCUGUAACUGACGCUGAGGCACGAAAGUGUGGGGAUCAAACAGGAUUAGAUACCCUGGUAGUCC